RNAcentral lists this long non-coding RNA (572 nucleotides) under Scleropages formosus (Asian bonytongue). RNAcentral's name for it is "lncRNA (ENSSFOG00015030350.1)". The record is from RNAcentral. Lineage: Eukaryota; Metazoa; Chordata; Actinopteri; Osteoglossiformes; Osteoglossidae.
CUUGGGUGCUACUCUGUCCCAUGUCAACAAGAUCAACAGCAAACAAAGGGAGAUGCAGAGGGACCUAGCGGUCUUUCGGUCACAAAUGACAGACACAGUGCUUUCAAAUCAACUAAGUAAAGGAACCGAGGAAGACUGCUCAGAAGAUGACCGCAAGUGUUUCUCAAGCCAAACCGUCUCCAGCAUCAUUCAAAACUUGCCUGACAGUUUGCCCCAGCUGAGCACAGUCUCCACACAAACCUCAGUCUCUGAAAAUGAUUUUGGUUGUCCAAGAGAAGCCCUACUGACGUUGCCGGUUUGGACUGUAGGCAAGAACAACGUAGAAAGGAAAAACAUUCACAAAUUGGAAAACCAAAGUGCAGCUAUGGAGCUUCUGGAGUCAGAGAGAGUCUAUGUGUCCUACCUGUCCCUUCUGCUCAACGCCAACAUCGCCUUUAAUGGAAAUGAAGCCAUACACAUCAAAGACAAGCGGUGAAGUUCCUCACUCUUACACAGCUCAUGAAGGCCUUAACAACUCUCACGAUGCACAGGUUUCUUUGUACUCCCAUAGCAAUUUGAUGUGUGUGUUCUCA